This 301-nucleotide ribosomal RNA is filed under the name uncultured bacterium. Its description in RNAcentral is "partial 16S ribosomal RNA". It matches the Rfam family "Bacterial small subunit ribosomal RNA", at positions 509 to 809 of the family's 1533-position model. The record is from RNAcentral.
CAGUCGCCGCGGGAAUACGUAGGGUGCAAGCGUUAAUUGGAAUUACUGGGCGUAAAGCGUGCGCAGGCGGUUAUAUAAGACAGAUGUGAAAUCCCCGGGCUCAACCUGGGAACUGCAUUUGUGACUGUAUAGCUAGAGUACGGCAGAGGGGGAUGGAAUUCCGCGUGUAGCAGUGAAAUGCGUAGAUAUGCGGAGGAACACCGAUGGCGAAGGCAAUCCCCUGGGCCUGUACUGACGCUCAUGCACGAAAGCGUGGGGAGCAAACAGGAUUAGAUACCCCCGUAGUCCCUGUCUCUUAUAU